Molecule: long non-coding RNA, 759 nt
Filed under: Gadus morhua (Atlantic cod)
Lineage: Eukaryota; Metazoa; Chordata; Actinopteri; Gadiformes; Gadidae
Description: lncRNA (ENSGMOG00000022492.1)
Source: RNAcentral
AUAUGGGAAUAUCUAAAGUCGUGGAGCUGCUUUCCAAAGUGCUGGAAGGAAAUAAAUUGAUGAAAGCGGAAAUUACCAACCUGGGGAGUGAAGUGAGGGCGCUUAGGAGAGAGAUGGUGAGGCCGGUAGCACCAGAAGCUGCCGCUUCGUCCAUCAAGCUGCCUCUGAGGACAAUGGAGGAGUUUCAAUUAGCAGAGGCUGUUAUGAGAGAAACCCCCUGCGAAAAACAAAAGAUGAUCUUAACAUUCAGUCUAAUUGGAGGGCACACUGCAGAAGAGGCCGUAAGAAGGAUGUUGCAGAGUGGCCUAACAAAUAACCUGGCGUGUCGCUUCAACUGGGCAGGGAAAGGCUUCAAGGAAGCCUUUAAAAGCACUGUCCUUAGUGAUGUACUGUUCGCUGCACUCCAAAAACAGCUGCCAGGGACCACCCAUAUUGUUUUUUCAGGGACACUUAAGAAGUGGCUUAAAUAUGCACCAGAGAGAGAGGGAGGUGGAGGGAGGCGAACAAAUGAACGCGAUCAGGUAGGCCUAUGUACGCUUGUUCCACACACCAUGCGUCCUUCGACGGAUGAGCGUCGCGAGUGCGACUCUGAACCAUGGACAGGUCUGAACGGACGGACCCAAAAUGCAUUUCGAGAGCGCAAUGAUAUGGAGCCAGUUUCCUGCCAUAAUUCCAACCUGAAAAAAAAAGUUUCAAAGGGUUAUACACUAAAAUUCAACCAUCUGUAAACAUGAUUUUGUGUUCUAUUUUAUCUUCAUC